AUGGCUGGGUGCAUGAAGGGUCCACAGGAGGAAGCAACAAUAGCAUCUUCAAGUGGGAUUGGUCCUGAGAGUGGGCUCGGACGUGGCUUACACGCUUACAAGGGGUUUAAGACGGUCCAUGGCUCUUCCGUAUGAUUUAAAUUAGUGAAGUCAUGCGGCAUGGCUUGACACACAACAGUGGAGCGGGCUUGCGGCUUGCGACAGACCCUGAGACGCGGCCUAUAACACGA
This 230-nucleotide long non-coding RNA is filed under the name Elaeis guineensis (African oil palm). RNAcentral describes it as "long non-coding RNA (EGUI_LNC056798)". The record is from RNAcentral. Lineage: Eukaryota; Viridiplantae; Streptophyta; Magnoliopsida; Arecales; Arecaceae.